Non-coding RNA from Poecilia latipinna (sailfin molly), 719 nucleotides. The record is from the annotation of a RefSeq genome assembly. Lineage: Eukaryota; Metazoa; Chordata; Actinopteri; Cyprinodontiformes; Poeciliidae.
GAGAAAUAUUUGUGAAACAGACAUUUUAUAAUAAACUAAUUAUAAAACCCAAUCUGACGGAUUCCAUUCAAAUGUUAAAUAAAGUGAUUUGCAUCAGCAGCUCCAUGCUCCAGCGCUCUGGGAGAGUUUAUAGUCCUGACAGUUGAACACUGGAUGACUGACAGCUGUCCUUCAUCACAGCAGAAGACACAGAAAUCCUCCUCAUCAUCAGAAACAUGACUCUGAUCUGCGUCCUCAUCUGGACUCUCCUCUGCUGCUGCUUCACAGAGGUCAGAGGUCAGGUCACUGUGACUCAGCAGCCUGCAGCAGUGAGAGCUGAUCUGGGAGGAUCUGUCACCAUCAGCUGUAGAACCAGUCAGAAUAUUUAUAGCAUCUAUUUAGCCUGGUACCAACAGAAAGAUGGACAAACUCCUAAGCUCCUCAUUUAUCUUGCCAGCACUAAAGCAUCAGGGACUCCAAGUCGCUUUACAGGCAGAGGAUCAAACUCUGACUUCACUCUGACCAUCAGUGGAGUUCAGGCUGAAGAUGCAGGAGUUUAUUACUGUCAGAGUGCUCAUUACAUCAACAGUCAGUAUCUGUUCACACAGUGAAAAAUCAUCGUACAAAAACCUCCGUCAGUCUGACUUUACAGUAACUGUUAUUUGUUCUGCAGCUGGAAUCUGCUGCAGAAACUGAUACAGUUCACUGAGCAAACACACUGGAUGUACACAGAGUCUAAU